CGAGAAAGAUCAUAGACGCCAACUUCAAUGUCCAAAACCUGGAGCAAGUCCUUGUUCCAGAUGUAGAUGGUUGUCUACACAACUGCUAUGUUCUCUCUCCUAGGCUCCCGCAACGUUAGGGCGACGAGCGGUUCCUAGAGCUUGAAAGCUGUCUGGGUCUUCGAUUGAUUCGCGGAUCCAGUUUCUUCCCUUCCAAUUCUGGUUGAUCCCCUGCUGACCCGGGGUGCUCGCGGCUGCCACCUUCGGUCUCUGUUCGGGGUGAAUAAGGGGCAAUCUCUGUAUCGCUACCCACCAUUGGCGGGGGAUGGUUUUUUGGUUUCUACCUGUACUUGAAUGGCGGGUGCUCGCGAGGCGGAGGGGUUUGGUGCCCUUGGGGGCAUGCAGUCUGCGCCGGACGGAGGUGAUGCUCCUCCAGUUUGGGCGCUUCUAGGCUAGGGGAGGCGAUGGCGGUUGCAGACCCAUCCUCCUCAGCAGGCGGUUCUUUCUGUCAAUUGGAUCAUGUUUUCUUUAGGUUUCGUUGGUUUGCCUGCUAAUUUGUUUGUUGUCAUCGUUGUCUAGUAAGACUGGCCGAUUAGGUUUCUGUCUAAAACCGGUAUGCCUAUGUCCAUGUUUUGAUGGCCUGUACAAGAAUGUGUAUCAGGACACGAUCAAUUACGAAACAACAGUUCAUGCCUAUGUAUAAUCAUGACAGGUUAAACUUGUGGGCGUCGAACUACAAAGAUGUUAGAGAAAUAAAUAUGAAUUUGGUUCUCGUUUUGAUUUGGUACGCUUCGUUCCCUAAUGCGCACAAGUGGUCUUUGACCUCUUGAGAUCUGGUUCAGGACAAUUGAGGUUAGUGCCUCUCAGGUCCAUCAUUACCUCUUGAAAAAAAAACGAUAUCUUCUAUAUCUGAUUACAUUGAAAUAUUUCUUCUUUUGUUUUUGUAUUUUUACUCACGAUUUGUUAUGUGUGUUGUCCUCUUUCAGGAUUUGGUACAUGGUUACCGAUGCAGAGGAUAAGGGGUUCAUCGUGCCAGGCAAGGUGCAUGGUGGUAGGCUCUGUCUCUGGCCUUGGCAUCUUCCGUUGGACCUGCUGUUGUGCGGUGGUGAUGGUGCUGUUUUGCAUCGACUACAAACAACCAAGAUGAGAUCCUCUCUCUUUCCUCUGCCUCUUGCCUUCGGUAGCUCUGAGAGCUUGUGGCCAUUGAGCCACGGGUAUGGUAGUUGCUCUUGUUUGAUGGACAUCUUACCAUGGCUAUAAUGAAAAAGCAUAACCUUUUUUAGUCUGGCUAUAGGCGUGGUUUGGCCUUUUUUAGCAUGACCUAUAACUAGCUGGAGUGGUGGUGCUGUUGUGGUUGGUUUACACCACAACAGUGACUCAGCUUAGCUCCACGUGUGUUCUGGCGUUGCUGGAUUCGCUGAUUAAUGUGGGUUUAACAGCAAGGCCGACUUGCUAUCUUGUUUUUUUCUCUUCAUGAUUAUCUACUUAAGCAGCUGUGUGGCUAAUUGCUUGGGAGUUGUUCCCUUGGGCUAGAACUUGAGCUCAUCCUUUUUUUCUCUAAAAUGGAACAGUGCAUUGUCCUGUUGUUGGAAUAUAUGAGGGCUCAAUUAAUUCCCGAGGAAAAAUGGCAAUACUAACCUGGCAUUUGACAAGUGGUGUUGUGAAUUAGCAUUACUAUUGAUUUUAUAGGUUAGCUGGAUUUGAUCUGAAGGGUAACCUCUUUACUCAACUAUGGGAUUUUCUUCUAAGUCGCCAGUGUUGUAGGGUUUCAAUUGGCAUAGAUUGGGCUUUGCGAAAUUUGUUGCCUUGCUGGUUUUAUGUCUUAAUCAAUCUCUGAUACAUUCUUGAUAUAUGGUCCUUUUUUCAUCAAGGCAUGUAGGUAUUGUGCAAUAUGUGUUCCUUAGAUGACCAUGAUUAUCUAGUGUUGUGCAUAGUGUCAAGUGUCAACUGUGUAUAGUUUCUCUGUUCUGCUAUUGUUUAAUAGUCACUUACAAGCAUAUUUUGAUAGAACCAUAGAUAUCAUGGUUGUGAACAUCUUACCUACUACUUUUAUUAGUUAUUAAAUUCAGAUUAUACUUCUAGAUGUGGACUGUUUGUCAUUCUACGAAAUGCUAGCUUGCAUUUACUUGGUUAGCAACUUUUGAAUUUUGCUGAGCAGAACACUACUGGAUAUCAUGUUAAAAAUGAUGACCCUAUUGUUUGGCAUAGGCAUGUAUCCUUGAUGCUGAUUGUUAAAUACAAGAAAACUUUUUCAAGGGCUUGCUGAUCACAAGAAUCAACUUGGAGCCCAUUGCAGGUAAUUAAUCAUCUUGGAGCUCCUCUCUGCCCUUGCAGGAUAUGGUACAACAUCGAUAGUGAUGCAGAGAAGGGGUUCAUCAUGCCAGGCUUGCAUGAUGGUAGGCUCUCUGGCCUUGGCAUCUUCCGCUGGACCCGCUGCUGCGCGGCGGUGAUGGUGCUGUUUGGCAUCGACUGCAAAACAACCAAGACCUGCGGUUCUUCUCGUCAGUGUGACUUGGUGGUUGUUGUUGUGGUCCUCCACUGAUGGUUGCUGGGCUCAAAAAAGCUCGAGGAGACAGAGAAUUCAUAUAUGUGCACGCAGACCCGUGGUUCUUCUCAUCUGCACAACUUGGUGGUCCUUUGGCGAUGGUUGCUGGGCCCAAAAAAGCUUGACGAGACUUAGGAGGAUGAACUGCCGAAUGCAUUGAUUGGUAGCUGAAUCUCGAUGUCCAUGGUCGAUGCUUUUGUUUAUUCAUUGGCAAAUUAUUUCAAUUGGGUGGGUCAUAAAAGAUGGCUCAAACCGUUCACUGUCUUAUUGCUUGUGUAUCAGCGGACCAAUUCUGUCUUGUUACUCAAUGUAGCAUAAAAGGCGUGGAUCAGAUCAUUCUUAUUGCUUCCUAUAUUCAUCAUGUGCAGCCAGUAGCAUGUAUCUCCUUCGCUUUUUCUUUUUCUGUUGAUUACUGUUGUAUAGUUUUGUCAAUGAAACAGUACCAAAUCAGUUGGUAUCUAUGGAAUA
Triticum aestivum (bread wheat) is the source of this 2992-nucleotide long non-coding RNA. RefSeq lists it as uncharacterized. The record is from RefSeq and is a predicted model, not a curated record. NCBI's taxonomy places the organism in Eukaryota, Viridiplantae, Streptophyta, Magnoliopsida, Poales, Poaceae. The transcript has 5 exons.